RNAcentral lists this long non-coding RNA (512 nucleotides) under Phasianus colchicus (ring-necked pheasant). RNAcentral's name for it is "lncRNA (ENSPCLG00000001982.1)". Lineage: Eukaryota; Metazoa; Chordata; Aves; Galliformes; Phasianidae. The record is from RNAcentral.
GCUUGGAACCAGAAACUGGCAGCUGAAAUUGCCUCAUCUGCUAGUGUCUCCGUCCAUGGAUAGUCCCGCUCCCAUGGAAACACAUGUCAGAGCAGCACAUGCAGGGAUACGAUGACUCACAGUCCAGAGUUCCCAUUUCUCGCUCAGAGAAUCCGGGUGACAGCUCAGAAUAAACACAGAACUCCCAGAUGGCUAUGGGUAGGUGAGUCUGCAAGUUUGAAAGGAGAGAGAAAAAUUCUGAGACUCAUUUUCAAAGGGUGUGAAGAAAGAAAUAGAGCACUGGCAUUCAUCUUCAAAAAAGCUAGAAGUGAAGCUGCUCGUACAGCUCUCUGCCAGCAUUGGAGGUGGAAAGAAUGGGCCUGAAAUCUGUGCUCUUCAGUUCUCAACCAUCCAUUGGAAUGAGGUGUCCAGAGCAGAGCUAAGAAAAAGACGAAAACAGAAAGAGAUCAUUUGAUUUGACAGAAGUCUUACAUUGUGAUUUUGAUUCUUUAUUUGUCCAGACACCAAUAAAU